Long non-coding RNA from Leptinotarsa decemlineata (Colorado potato beetle), 247 nucleotides. The record is from RefSeq and is a predicted model, not a curated record. Lineage: Eukaryota; Metazoa; Arthropoda; Insecta; Coleoptera; Chrysomelidae.
CGAAUAUUUUGAAAGAGAGAGAGCGCCUGGAGGACCUUUGUUACCAUUUUUAUCUGUUCAAGAGAGAGUUGCAGAUGCACAUAAAAUAUCUCAAAAAACGGUGUUCAACAUCAAACAAAGAAAUAAACACAAACCCAUUCCAUCAACUCCAGGAAAAAGUAGACAUCGUAUCAAAAAGAAAACAUCUGAUUUACCUGAAGGGCAGAAAAUGGAAGUACGAAAUACUCUGUACGAUAUGUAUAAAGAC